AACUAUUUGUGGUUUAAACUAAAUUAACUAAAAGGAGGAUUGCUACUAAGAAUGAAUAAUUAGCGCAAAAGGCAAACUGAUGAAUAAGGAAGAUUCUGCAGAAAAAUCUGACCAAUAAAGGAAAAUAACAAAUCACAAGACCAUUUAUUUCUACUCUGGAAAAUAAAUGCAAAUAUAAAUAAAAAUGGGUGGCCUGUCUCCUCCGGAGUCCGUCAUAGUGGAGAAAGGAAGACUGCAGUUUCCGAGCAGGAACAGCGACCUUUCCGGCCUUUAUCAGUGUGAAGCAGAAAACACGGUUGGAAAAGCAAAGACAUCCGUCUUUGUGCAUUUCUCUUCAGAACCCGCAGUUGCAUGUUGGGUUGUUCUUGCUCUGGUAUUUGUCCUACUUAUGGUUGCUGCUGCAUUUGUGUACUUUUGGCGAUCUGGUAAAUUUUCAGUGUUGAGGGAACACACACCUUUGAGGAAAGAAGUUCAAUCCAAUAAUAUUUCAGGAGAAAUCGAGUUCUCCCACCAAGAAAAAGCAGGAUCCGUCUAA
Molecule: long non-coding RNA, 535 nt
Filed under: Oryzias javanicus (javanese ricefish)
Lineage: Eukaryota; Metazoa; Chordata; Actinopteri; Beloniformes; Adrianichthyidae
Description: lncRNA (ENSOJAG00000008513.1)
Source: RNAcentral